UGAGGAAUAUUGGUCAAUGGGCGCAAGCCUGAACCAGCCAUGCCGCGUGCAGGAUGGCGGUCCUAUGGAUUGUAAACUGCUUUUGUACGAGAAGAAACACCCCUACGUGUAGGGACUUGACGGUAUCGUAAGAAUAAGGAUCGGCUAACUCUGUGCCAGCAGCCGCGGUAAUACGGAGGAUCCAAGCGUUAUCCGGAAUCAUUGGGUUUAAAGGGUCCGUAGGCGGUCUUGUAAGUCAGUGGUGAAAGCCCGUCGCUCAACGACGGAACGGCCAUUGAUACUGCAGGACUUGAAUUACCAGGAAGUAACUAGAAUAUGUAGUGUAGCGGUGAAAUGCUUAGAGAUUACAUGGAAUACCAAUUGCGAAGGCAGGUUACUACCAAUGGAUUGACGCUGAUGGACGAAAGCGUGGGUAGCGAACAGGAUUAGAUACCCUGGUAGUCCACGCCGUAAACGAUGGAUACUAGCUGUUGGGAGCAAUCUCAGUGGCUAAGCGAAAGUGAUAAGUAUCCCACCUGGGGAGUACGAACGCAAGUUUG
Molecule: ribosomal RNA, 539 nt
Filed under: uncultured bacterium
Lineage: Bacteria
Description: bacterial SSU rRNA
Rfam family: Bacterial small subunit ribosomal RNA
Source: RNAcentral